GAUGAACGCUGGCGGCGUGCCUAAUACAUGCAAGUCGAGCGAACAGACGAGGAGCUUGCUCCUCUGACGUUAGCGGCGGACGGGUGAGUAACACGUGGAUAACCUACCUAUAAGACUGGGAUAACUUCGGGAAACCGGAGCUAAUACCGGAUAAUAUAUUGAACCGCAUGGUUCAAUAGUGAAAGACGGUUUUGCUGGCACUUAUAGAUGGAUGCGCGCCGGAUUAGCUAGUUGGUACGGUAACGGCUUACCAAGGCAACGAUGCGUAGCCGACCUGAGAGGAUGAUCGGCCACACUGGAACUGAGACACGGUCCAGACUCCUACGGGAGGCAGCAGUAGGGAAUCUUCCACAAUGGGCGCAACCCUGACGGAGCCACGCCGCGUGAGUGAUGAAGGUCUUCGGAUCGUAAAACUCUGUUAUUAGGGAAGAACAAAUGUGUAAGUAACUAUGCACGUCUUGACGGUACCUAAUCAGAAAGCCACGGCUAACUACGUG
Molecule: ribosomal RNA, 497 nt
Filed under: uncultured bacterium
Lineage: Bacteria
Description: partial 16S ribosomal RNA
Rfam family: Bacterial small subunit ribosomal RNA
Source: RNAcentral